RNAcentral lists this ribosomal RNA (120 nucleotides) under Retrovarium manteri. Its description in RNAcentral is "partial 5.8S ribosomal RNA". It matches the Rfam family "5.8S ribosomal RNA", at positions 1 to 117 of the family's 154-position model. Rfam says of the family: 5.8S ribosomal RNA (5.8S rRNA) is a component of the large subunit of the eukaryotic ribosome. It is transcribed by RNA polymerase I as part of the 45S precursor that also contains 18S and 28S rRNA. Functionally, it is thought that 5.8S rRNA may be involved in ribosome translocation. The record is from RNAcentral. RNAcentral also lists the same sequence under 1 other name. Lineage: Eukaryota; Metazoa; Platyhelminthes; Trematoda; Opisthorchiida; Cryptogonimidae.
GUACAACUCUGAGCGGUGGAUCACUCGGCUCGUGUGUCGAUGAAGAGCGCAGCCAACUGUGUGAAUUAAUGUGAACUGCAUACUGCUUUGAACAUCGACAUCUUGAACGCACAUUGCGGC